AAGAAAAGAAACAGAAGAAUUUGAAGAAAAACAGGAAACGUCAGUUUCUCCUCCUUCGACCCAUUUCAGUUUUCCUUCCACAAACAACCCACCCAUGGAUUUCUAAAUCCAAAAUGGGUUUCUUGCACAAUAUCAAAUUCAUCUUCAAAUAAAAAUUCACAAUCAACCCAAAUAACUCAACAACCCAUUUUAUCCAUUCAAUUUCACCAAUCCAAUUGGGAACAAUUGAAGCUCAAACAAUGGCUAUAUAUACCCAUAUUUGCUCCACCAUUCCUCACUCAGUCAUCACUAACAAAUACACUCAAAAACCUCCUGAAUUACCACCGGAAAACGCCACCAAAAACACCCCUUAAAAUCUCUUGUUUUCGCACAACUCUCUCUCACUCCUCUGUUUUUCGAACCAACACCACCACAGCACCACCUUCUGUGGCUGCCACCCUCCACCGACAACCACCGACGCCCCUCACCACUACCACCUUGCGCCAACCACCGCACCUUCGCCUACCCAGCCGCCCCUCUCCCUCGUCCUCAUCUCUCUCGCUCAGCUCCUCUCUGCUCUCGCCCAGUUCUUUCUCUCUCCUCUGCUUGCUGCGUGCACCGCCAGACCACCGCUACAGCACCGACGAACCCGAGCCCACAGUCGCCGGAGUUUCGCGCCUUCCGUCGCUGCCGUUGGAGCCUCAACCCACUCCCAACGACCUCCCUCUCUUGCUCUCUUGUCGAGUCUGCUAAGUUGGAGCGGAGAUUAACAAGGAAGAGAUAUUACAAGCCUUCCCCUACGAUCAAGGUUGUUAAGCAGGAUUCCAGGUAUGCAUACGAAGAUGGGAUGACGUAGCAGUGAGGAUUAAAUUACGUUAAUUCAUGCGACUAUGACGGUUAUGUAAUCCAAGUUUAUGAUCACUAAAUUACGUAACAUUAGCUAUGCUUAAGCUAUCUAUAUAUAUAUUUUUAGAAUUACUAAAACUAUUAUAGAAGUUUAGUUAUAUGAAAGAAUGUUGCCUUGUACUUUCCUGUGUGGAGAGUACGACAGUGACACAUCGACUAAGCUAGGAAGGUCUUCCGCUGCUAAUCAUUGUAAUUAAUUAACCUAAUAGUGAUGCUUAAAAGUCGGGGCGUUACAUUAAGACUUUAGUAUAUGUACUUGAGGUCUCGAGAUCAAAUCUUAUAUUACGCAAUUUCUAAAUUUUUUUAUUGUACAUGGAUUACAUGAACUAAAACUCUCUAAGAAGAGCGCCAAGUGGCACAAUUUCUUGUUUAUGAAC
Long non-coding RNA from Beta vulgaris subsp. vulgaris (sugar beet), 1262 nucleotides. RefSeq lists it as uncharacterized. The transcript is spliced from 3 exons. The record is from RefSeq and is a predicted model, not a curated record. Lineage: Eukaryota; Viridiplantae; Streptophyta; Magnoliopsida; Caryophyllales; Amaranthaceae.